Molecule: ribosomal RNA, 466 nt
Filed under: uncultured bacterium
Lineage: Bacteria
Description: bacterial SSU rRNA
Rfam family: Bacterial small subunit ribosomal RNA
Source: RNAcentral
AACGAACGCUGGCGGCAGGCCUAACACAUGCAAGUCGAACGCCGUAGCGAUACGGAGUGGCAGACGGGUGAGUAACGCGUGGGAACAUACCCCUCGGUUCGGAAUAACUCAGGGAAACUUAGAGCUAAUACCGGAUAAGUCCGAGGUUUUAAUCGACCUUGGAGAAAGAUUUAUCGCCGGAGGAUUGGCCCGCGUCUGAUUAGCUUGUUGGUGAGGUAAUGGCUCACCAAGGCGACGAUCAGUAGCUGGUCUGAGAGGAUGAUCAGCCACAUUGGGACUGAGACACGGCCCAAACUCCUACGGGAGGCAGCAGUGGGGAAUAUUGGACAAUGGGCGAAAGCCUGAUCCAGCCAUGCCGCGUGAGUGAUGAAGGCCUUAGGGUUGUAAAGCUCUUUUACCCGGGAAGAUAAUGACGGUACCGGGAGAAUAACGCCCCGGCCAACUUCGUGCCAGCCGCCGCCGUAAG